Molecule: long non-coding RNA, 657 nt
Organism: Erigeron canadensis
Lineage: Eukaryota; Viridiplantae; Streptophyta; Magnoliopsida; Asterales; Asteraceae
Exons: 3
Source: RefSeq, a predicted model, not a curated record
UUAAAAUUGAGUGUGAUUCAUCCUCCAUAAUCAAAUAAUUCUUCAAGUAAAUAAUAUUAUCCAAGUGUUUUAAUAACAAGGAAAAUUUUGGGGUUUUGGUGGUGUGAAUGUGUGUGUGUGUCGAAUUACACAAGAAAAAAAGGAGAGAAAAGCUAGUGAUUUUUUCAUUCUCCCCAUCUUAUAUUCUUCAUUCAAGGUGGAAAGCAAUAUGAUUGUUAGAUGGUCAUCAUGGAUUUGUUUGUCGCGAUGAAGGUUGUCCCAGAAGUGGAAACAAGAGUAAGUGCUUCAAAGAUUUAUGUUGAUUUGGAAAUGCGGAAAUGUUGACUUAUGCGGUAAACGUUGGUUGUGGUUAGAACCCAUAGUGACUCCUUUGGACUAUUGGCUCUUGGUAUAUUUGAAGUGUUUUUAGUAAAGUUUUGUUUUAUACAUUUAUGCAAAAAGUUGAGUUGGAGUCAUGGUAUUUUGUAUAUUGAUAUAUUUUAAGUCUUGAAGUCUUGACUAUUAUGGUGGAUGGAAGUAUAAGUCAUUUUGGAGUCAAAUUGGUCAUUUUGUCACUUUGGGUAAUUGCGGGCGAGUGACCCGUUUGGUUGUUUUAAUGUAAAUUUCAAUGGUUAAAGUUUCGAAUGUAUCAAUUAGGUUGUAAUAUGUGAUUUUACA